CUCACUUUUCCUUUCCUUACCUUUGUCCUUGUUGUAGAAAUUUGAGGGACCUCUCCUCUGAUAAAAGGACUUCUUCCGGUUGAUGAACUUUCUGAACUUUCGCACGAGAAGAGCCUCAUCAUCAUCUCCCUCAUUGUCUUCUUCUUCGCUGCUGCUACUGCAAGAUGGAUCUUUGUUAGAAGAAGUAGAUUUGAGGGCUAUUACCUUUUUCUUAUGAGAGGAUUCUUCUUCGCUGUAUUGUUUCAUUGUGAGCUCAUGCGUCAUCAGGGAUCCAA
Molecule: long non-coding RNA, 275 nt
Filed under: Phoenix dactylifera (date palm)
Lineage: Eukaryota; Viridiplantae; Streptophyta; Magnoliopsida; Arecales; Arecaceae
Description: long non-coding RNA (PDAC_LNC010089)
Source: RNAcentral